GGGCGGGGCCGUCGAGAGCGGUCCGGGAGGAGGCCUACCGCACGGUCGCCCCGCGGGAACCCGGCGGCGGCCCCGCCUGCGCGCUUUACCCGUCGCCCUCCCGGGCCCGUCGCGCGCGCGUCCCUUUCGCUUUUAGCCCCAGCUGCGCUGACUGCUAGCGAUUACUCAGAAUCGUCCCUCCGGUUGGCAGAGUGACAAAAAUCGGCAGUGGCUGUCCGAGGACACCUGUUUACAAACAGGACCCCCGCCCCCAGCCGAAAGCACCCCAGGCCGAGAGCCCGGAAAUCUCGGUUCUCCUCCCACUCGGCCUCUCGCUCUCAGUGGGACUGGUUUCGGGCCUCAGUUUGCCUGUUUAUGUACUUGAUGUCAAGAAUGUGUGUGCAAUCGAACGAAAGACCUUUACAGUCUCACUGGUGACCGGCGGGAUGGGAGAAGACUGGAUUUUGCAGCCAGAUAUAUUCGGUUAGAAGUUCUUGGUUUGCCACUUUUUUCGCCUAUGGGACCUCGGUCAAGCCCCUUACACUUGGUAACUUCAUACCCAUUUUACAGAUGAGGAAGCUGACUUGGACAAAUUAACAGGAUGGCUCAUGUCUGACAGCUUCCUGACCAUGGCUCUGGAUCCAGCUCUCAUGUAGCUUUAGGCACCAACUGGACCCAGGUUCUCUCUGAAAAGGGAUAUAGACGAAACUCCAUAAC
Long non-coding RNA from Bos taurus (domestic cattle), 696 nucleotides. The record is from Ensembl. Lineage: Eukaryota; Metazoa; Chordata; Mammalia; Artiodactyla; Bovidae.